RNAcentral lists this unclassified non-coding RNA (497 nucleotides) under uncultured Glomus. Its description in RNAcentral is "SSU rRNA". It matches the Rfam family "Eukaryotic small subunit ribosomal RNA", at positions 569 to 1072 of the family's 1831-position model. Lineage: Eukaryota; Fungi; Glomeromycota; Glomeromycetes; Glomerales; Glomeraceae. The record is from RNAcentral.
AGCAGCCGCGGUAAUUCCAGCUCCAAUAGCGUAUAUUAAAGUUGUUGCAGUUAAAAAGCUCGUAGUUGAAUUUCGGGAUCAAUAUGUUGGUCGUGCCUCGGUACGUACUAGCUUAUUGGUUUCUCCUUUCUGAAGAACCAUGAUGUCAUUUAUUUGGUGUCGUGGGGAAUCAGGACUGUUACUUUGAAAAAAUUAGAGUGUUUAAAGCAGGCUCACGCUUGAAUACAUUAGCAUGGAAUAAUGAAAUAGGACGUUUGAUUCUAUUUCGUUGGUUUCUAGGAUCGACGUAAUGAUUAAUAGGGAUAGUUGGGGGCAUUAGUAUUCAAUUGUCAGAGGUGAAAUUCUUGGAUUUAUUGAAGACUAACUACUGCGAAAGCAUUUGCCAAGGAUGUUUUCAUUAAUCAAGAACGAAAGUUAGGGGAUCGAAGACGAUCAGAUACCGUCGUAGUCUUAACCAUAAACUAUGCCGACUAGGGAUCGGAUGAUGUUAAUUUUUU